Molecule: small RNA, 120 nt
Filed under: Marmota monax (woodchuck)
Lineage: Eukaryota; Metazoa; Chordata; Mammalia; Rodentia; Sciuridae
Source: RNAcentral
GCCAGGUGCAGUGGUGUACACCUGUGAUCCCAGCGACUCUGGAGGCUGAGGCAGGAGGACCAUGAGUUUUGAACUCAGCAACUUAGUGAGGCCUAAGAACUCAGUGAGACCCUGUCUCUA